This is a non-coding RNA of Prunus avium (sweet cherry), 437 nucleotides long. NCBI's taxonomy places the organism in Eukaryota, Viridiplantae, Streptophyta, Magnoliopsida, Rosales, Rosaceae. The record is from RefSeq and is a predicted model, not a curated record.
GUUAUUGAGUCUUAUCGAUUUUGGUUUUCUCUUCAUUGCAAAUAUAUUCAACACUUGCUUUCCCUUUCCUCUAAGAGUCGUUUAGCAUUUGAUUUCUACCAAGUAAUUGCAGAUUACCAGAGAGUUAAUUAAUAAAGCCACCUAUGGAUUCUAGGUGCCUCCACCAGGUAAAGGGUCAUUAUAUGUUAGGCCUCUGCUUCUAGGAAGCGGCCCUGGUCUGGGUAUUGGGCCAGCCCCUGAAUACGCAUUCCUCAUAUUUGCCUCUCCCAUUGGCAAUUGGUACAAGGUGAGCAGAGGGCUCCCUGGUGGAACAGGAGGGAUUAAAAGCAUCACCAACUAUUCACCUGUUUUUGAAGCAGUAAGCAAGGCUAAGGCCAAGGGGUUCACUGAUGUCCUAUUUCUGGAGGCAGCCACUGGGAAAAAUGUUGAGGAGGUUU